RNAcentral lists this long non-coding RNA (433 nucleotides) under Heterocephalus glaber (naked mole-rat). RNAcentral's name for it is "lncRNA (ENSHGLG00000042611.1)". The record is from RNAcentral. Lineage: Eukaryota; Metazoa; Chordata; Mammalia; Rodentia; Bathyergidae.
GUGGAAGUCACCUCGAGUAUCUCGGGGCUUGGUGACCUUUAAUGUUCCUGCUCUUCUGCCACCACCAAUCAGAAUAUUUGAGGGCUGCUGGGCAUGGUGGAGCAUGCCUGUCGUCCCAGCACUUGGCAGGCUGAGGCAGGAUCGUCGUGAGUUCCAGGCCAGUCUGGACUACCUAUCUGCAGAUGGUUCCUUCUACCUAUUGACUGGUAGAAGUAAGCGCUACCGAGGGGAAGAGGUACCCAGGGAGUGAGACAUGGCCCUCCUCGUCCUGAGAUCCUGGAGCUCUUCAGUUUUCAGUCCUCACACCAGCCCUUCCAGCUCAGAAAAUACAGGCACCAUAUUUACAGCUUCCGCGGAGCCCUCCUUUCUUCAAAUUCCUCCAAGCACUCAACAGUGUCAAGUGUCAGAAGCAUUAAACUUGUCAUUUUGCCCG